RNAcentral lists this long non-coding RNA (5573 nucleotides) under Medicago truncatula (barrel medic). Its description in RNAcentral is "long non-coding RNA (MTRU_LNC006719)". Lineage: Eukaryota; Viridiplantae; Streptophyta; Magnoliopsida; Fabales; Fabaceae. The record is from RNAcentral.
UGAAAAGCUUCAGAAAGUUUAUCAUCAACCUCUGAGACGAUUUCAAUGAGUUCGCUUCUUUUCUUCAACACAAAGGCUUGCAUAUCUUCAGGUACUUCACUUACUUCUACAUGCUUAUAAUAAGGUGUUUCAGAGCGAAAAAAGUAGGCCUUUAACUUGUUGACAAGAUCAAAAAGUCUAACAAACAUUUUAAGGCGAAAAUAGUAGGCCUUCAUCUUGACAAGAACAACAAAUCCAAAACACCAAUUGUCAAAGUAUAUUGGAACUUGAAUUGCAGCACAACGAUGAUUAAGCUUAGAUAUUACUUGAUCAAGAUUAGAUUUUACUUGAUCUACUAUUUCCCGUUCCCAAUUAAUGUCUUCGAUAAAUAUAAGCCUUGGAAAUUGAAAUCUUGUCAUUUGUUGAUCAUUUUCAACACCAUCAAAAAAGAGAAAGAACAAGAAUUGAACUGUCGAAAAUAUGUGAAGCUAUUUCAGCAUCAACAAUGGAAUCAACUUCGAUUAGGGUUAUGUUUUUAUUGUCUAUUUCGCAUACAACACGUGGGUCGACGUAGCGCAGUUGGCCUCGACUUUGUUUGGAUCGUAGUAUUUCCCAGUCCGCCCACAUCGUAAGGUCAGGGUCACCGUAUCUAGAAAGACAGACGUUGCGCAGAUGCUCCACUGAAUUGUUGGAGAAGUGACGGAGGUGGAGAGGGAAGGCUGAGAAAGAGAGGAGGCAGAGGAGAGAAGGCGUGGUAUGGAGGACCUUGAAAAGAAACGAUUCAUGGCGGCGGCAAGAAGGGGUUUGAUGGAAGGAAGCUGCAGAGUAGUAAGAAUGGUGAACGGAGCUUAAACCCUAAAAGUAACAUCCAUCAACGCCUUCAUCGCAAUUUCAACAAAAAAGAAGACAAACUACCAUUCAAUGCAACCGACCGAAUCGUUCUCCGAAUUCGCAAUUUAAAGGGGAAAUGAUUGAAUCAUUAGUUUUAUAGUGUCCCAAAAGAGGUAUAAUAACAUUUCAUUAUCAUGCCAAAUUAUAAGUACGAUGUGGUUGGUAUAUAAUUAAAAUUGGGUUAAUAGUGUUUUUCACCCUUGUAAUAUAGGCCAUUUCCGGUUUUCGCCCUUAUAAAAUUUUCGGUUUGAUUUCUGUCCUUGUAAAAUUUUUUUUUUCCCGGAAUACCCCCCUCCUCCCUCCAACUCAGCAAAUCAGCCUAUGUGGCGCUGACAUGGAAUUUAUUUAUUUUUUUUUUUUUUUUUCACCUGCCCCCGGGAAAAAAUUUUUUUUUUUUUUAAAUUGUGAAAUUUUAAUUUUAAAAAAAUCAAUUUUUGUUUCAAUCGUCCUAUUUUUUAAAAAAUUUGAAAAUUAAUUUUUCAAAAAUAAAAAAAAAAUAUUCAGAUUUUUUUCCGAAUAUUAAUUUCAAAAAUGAUUUUAUAAAAAAAAAUUCAAAUAUUAAAAAUAUGAUUUUUUAGAAUUUUUAAAAUUUUAGAAAAUGAUUUUUUUUUUAAAUUUUAAUUUCAAAAAUGAUUUUAUAAAAAUCUAGAAUAAAAUUUUCGAAAAUAAAAUCUGAAUUUUUAAAAAAAUCUGUAUCCAGAUUAUUAAAAAUAAAAUAUUUUCCAUAAAAAAAAAUAUGACUUUUUUUAAAAAAUUUCGAAUUUGUUUCUUCUAAUUUAAUUUUUUUUUAAUUUUGAAAAUUAAACUCCAGAAUCUUUAAAAAAAAUUAAUUUCGAAAAAAAACCGAAUAUUUUUUCUGAUUUUUUUAAUAUUCGAAUUUAAUAUAAAAUCGAAAAAUUCAAAAAAAAUCUUAUCGUUUUUUCUGAUUUUUUUAAUAUUUGAAUUUUUUCUUUUUCGAUUUUUAAAUUUUUUGGAAAAAAAUCUGAAUAUUUUUUUUUAUUUUUGAAAAUUAAUUUUCAAAUAUUUUAAAAAAUAAAAUCUGAUGUAGAUAAUUAAAAAAAAUUGAGUUUUUUAAAAUUAAAAUUUCACAAUUUUUUAAAAAAAAAAACGAAUUAUACACGUGGCAAGUGAAAAAAAAAAUCAAAAAUAAAAAAAAAUUCCAUGUCAGCGCCACAUAGGCUGAUUUGCUGAGUUGGAGGGAGGAGGGGGGUAUUCCGGAAAAAAAAAAAUUUGCAAGGACAGAAAUCAAACCGAAAAUUUUAUAAGGGCGAAAACCGAAAAUGGCCUAUAUUACAAGGGUGAAAAACACUAUUAACCCAUUAAAAUUUGAUUUCCAAUGUUAAAGUGGCAUGGGAAGAAUAACUUGACCACACGGUUGUGCCUCUAGUGAGGUAAAUUAUUGACAAGAGAAUAAGAACGAUGAUUGUGAAAAAGAGGAAUGAUAUAUCAACAUUAUUUGUGUUCAAUGUUAUAAAGAAAAAGAGGAAUGAUAUAUGAAUAUUAUUUGUGUACAACCAACAACUUCUUUGCUAUUUUUUAAUAUUUUUUUUAUUGAUUUUGAUUUGCGUGCUCCUUACAGUAUUAAAGGGUGUUGCAUUAGUUGUUCAAUUUUGGUUGUACAAAUAACAUAGCUCAAAGAAAAAAGGUUCUUUAUCCAAAGAUAAAUAAAAAUCGAACAGGUUUUAAACUAGUUGAACCAAUUACGGUGAAAACCUGGUUGAGAAACAUCUAAUUUAGUCUGAUUUUAAAAACAUUGGUCGUAAGUCUUUAGAUAUUUACUUAUACGUGGUGUAUUGAUAUGUUUACUUCAUGUGCAAGUUUUAUAAGCUUUAGAUAUUUACUUAUACGUAGUGUAUUGAUAUGUUUACUUCAUGUGCAAGUUAGCAUAGAUACUUGUCCAUUUAUAAGCUUUAGAUAUUUACUUAUACGUAGUGUAUUGAUAUGUUUACUUCAUGUGCAAGUUAGCAUAGAUACUUGUCCAUUUAUAAGCUUUUCAGAAAAGAACUACCGUGCUUAUGAAUAAAUGUGCACACAUUCUAAAAUUUGGGGAAGGAGGAGGAAAGAGAAAAAGAGCAACUUGCAUAAUCAGUAAUCCAAAUCACUAGAUAGAGAAUGAAAUUUGGCAUUUGCUCAAAACAUAGGCUCCUCAAACAUUUUGAUGGGAAAAAUUCGGGAGAUAGUUACUGCACUUGAGAUAUACAUAAUCUUAAAAUACUUUUUCUAGGAUAUCAUUCUAGAAUCUUAAAAUAUUUUGAUUAUGGAUAUCCUAGAAAUUCGGAAGAUAGUUACUGCACUUUGGAUAUCCUAAAAAAAAGAUAUUUUAAGAUCAUGAAUAUCCAUAAUCUUAAAAAGCCAGUAAGGAUAACCACCCUAAAAUUUGCUUGCUUUUUUUUCAGAAAGGUUAUCAAAUACCAACUCUCAACCAGCUUCGUUUCAAAAGCACUCUACAAGAGCUUCAUUUGAACUCUUAAUGAAAAACUAUUUUUGUACUAGUCUCUUUCAUCAAUCUUUCUCAUCCUUAUCCUCUUCGGAUGAUAAUCAAAAUUUGAUGUUAGAAACAAUCCGAUACUCUUAAGAUACUGAAGGGUAUUUGACCAAAUGGAUAGAUACAUACGGUUAAUCGAAUUCAUCAUUUGUGGUCUUUUGGCUAAUCUUAUGCAUCAAAAUGGACGGGGAGCUUUGAGCAUAAUAUAUAAAUCUUCAAUGAGAUUGGUGUUUAACCCUUGACCUUUGUAUGAGGAAGUCCCCUCUAAUCUAAAUUUUUGUUCAUAAAAAUUACAACCUGUGAUUUAAUUGCAGUCAACAUCUAGAAAGACUAGUAUAGUUACAAUUUAUUACACAAUUUUUGUAUCACCUUCUACAAAACUUCAUCACAUACAACCACUUUGGGCAUCAAUAAUAGAAGAAUCUACACCAAAUUGAAAGGAUUAGGAGAUUCAGUGUCUUUACAUGCUGCAUCAUUUACGCAACAUCAGCUGCAGUUGCAGCACUUGAUUUCUUUGUUCCGGAGGUAGGAGAUUUAUCUGCUCCGGUGUGAGACUCAUGACCUGCUGAAGCAAUGCCUUCUCCAUAUCUGGUGUCAACUGCAUGCAAGCAAGAAGUGAAUAUCAAUAGGCUGCAGGACAAUUUCAAGGGACUAUUGCUAAUUCACAAUAAUUACCGCAGGAGGCCGAGGAGGCUGAUUAGCAGCACCGAUCUGACCAGAAACCAUAGAUGAUGGUCCCUGAGGACCAGAAUGCUGUGCUAGAUUCUCCGAGGGACCAGGCAUCCAAGAAGACCCUCUUUCAAUUUGCAUUGCAUUUCCAGCUUGACUGCUGAAAUCAGACCCAAAUGGUAUAUUUCCAACCUGACACAAAAAGCAUGACUUAGCACCUAAAUAAUCAAUUACUAUCAAAACAAAGUGUUGCUACUCAUCAUGACAGAUGCUGCUUUUCAAGCCAUUUUACUUAGAUUUACUUGUUUACUUCUUACAGUUAAAAUUAAUGAAAUUGGAGGCCUAACUCAUCCUUAAAAACCGGUUCAUAAGGUGAGGAUUGUCUCCUCUAUAUAAACUCUUAUCAAGAGUCUUAUCUAUCCGAUGUGGGACAUGGGUUUUUCCCAAUACAAUGACUAGUGGAGUUAAAACUAAAUAGUCACAACUUUUCAAUAUCUCCACUAAGUACUUAUUAAAUAUUCUAACAAAAAUCACCAAAAUCAACUUGGACUGAGGUCAAAAUCCAGCAUGCUAGUUAAUUAAACAAAACUGACUAACUCAAUUGUGAAAUAGAAAUGCAGCAAUGACAAAUUUGUCAGGAAUAAUAGUGUAUAUUUUUCUCCUCCUUCCGUUGUUAAUUGGUUUCAACCUUCAGACUCAUCAAUACAAUAUGACAGCGGAAGAGCCCAUAAUCUUCACAUUGACAAAAACCCAUCAAUACCCCAUUUCUGAUCUAUGCAACUCAUCAUUUUCUUCUUAUCCUUGUGAUUUACCUUCUUUUUGUUUGACAGAAAUCACAUAGAAUUUCUGUUACCUGUGAUAGCUUUAUUUCUGAUGGCAGACUCUACCACCUGCAUAUUUCGCUGACAACUACGGCAAUUCACAACCCACUCCUUUGCAUCAUCACAACAAACCUUGGUCUCAAUUCUUUGGUCCAUUUUUUUUUCCACUGUCUACUUCACAGUUUAUGUUGUGAAAAAUAUAUUUCUCUGUUCACAUAUUUUUAAUUUCAGCUGUUUGUAGUCUUUAAUUUGGGGUAAUUCUGUAUUUUUGAAUAUAUUUAAAUAUAAGUUUAGUAUAAAUAAUUUAUCUUCAAUAUAUAUUUUUGACAUGGCAGACAUCCCAUUAUGGAUCCAUGUAGCCGACAUAAGGCUUGGUUGUUGUUUGUUGUUUGUUGCAGACAUCCAAUUAUCUGUCAUUCCACUAUAGCAUUUUUGGAAUGAGCCACCAGGAGCAGCAACUCAAGAUAAAAAAAUAUGGUUUCAACAUUUCACCGUGCAUCUAAAAGGUACUUUCCAUGUAAACCAAAGAUAAUUUUGUUUGUAUAAGCGCUACAAUAUAAGAUGCUCCUAACAAGUGUCGCAACUAUUGGGCAUUAACAGAUAGACAAAAGGAUUCUGCUGCAGAAAAGCUAGGAUUGAACAAGUCAUUGAAUUUAUGAAUCCAAAACUCAUGAUGGUAUAAAGCCAAUAAUAUAUUUUGAUGCCACAGAGCAUGACAAACACCCAUG